Molecule: ribosomal RNA, 419 nt
Filed under: bacterium enrichment culture clone ALO1_GLFRUDD03GPUJ1
Lineage: Bacteria
Description: bacterial SSU rRNA
Rfam family: Bacterial small subunit ribosomal RNA
Source: RNAcentral
GAGUUUGAUCAUGGCUCAGAUUGAACGCUGGCGGCAUGCCUUACACAUGCAAGUCGAACGGCAGCACGGGAGCUUGCUCCUGGUGGCGAGUGGCGAACGGGUGAGUAAUGCAUCGGAACGUAUCCUGGAGUGGGGGAUAACGUAGCGAAAGUUACGCUAAUACCGCAUAUUCUGUGAGCAGGAAAGCGGGGGACCUUCGGGCCUCGCGCUCUUGGAGCGGCCGAUGUCGGAUUAGCUAGUUGGUGAGGUAAAGGCUCACCAAGGCGACGAUCCGUAGCAGGUCUGAGAGGAUGAUCUGCCACACUGGAACUGAGACACGGUCCAGACUCCUGCGGGAGGCAGCAGUGGGGAAUUUUGGACAAUGGGGGCAACCCUGAUCCAGCCAUGCCGCGUGAGUGAAGAAGGCCUUCGGUUGUAAG